Long non-coding RNA from Mytilus trossulus (common blue mussel), 347 nucleotides. RefSeq lists it as uncharacterized. The record is from RefSeq and is a predicted model, not a curated record. The transcript has 3 exons. NCBI's taxonomy places the organism in Eukaryota, Metazoa, Mollusca, Bivalvia, Mytilida, Mytilidae.
UGUUUAUAAUGCGGAAGUAGGACUUUGAAGAAUUUUAUUGAAUUAUACUUAUUGUUGUCGUGAAGGAGGAGGUACAUUUCGAACUUAAUCGAACAAAGUCUCUACAAAAUCUUUUAACGAAAAAUAUAUACUGAUUGAUUUUGCAACAAAAAGUAUAGCGCUGUUCCAGUGUCAUUAUUAAGGAAAAAUAAAUCCGGACGCUGACAGCACUUUGACAAAACAAGACAACAAAAUGAAUGUUAGUCCGGUUGCUAGGGAAGAAUCAAAUAACAACAAAUGUGCUUCUAAUGAACGUCCAAAUUUGUAUUGGCAUGAAUGUGUUACCGUGGGAACAAAAGGAGUUAACA